UACAGAGGUCUCAAGCGCUGUUCGGAUUCAUUGGGCGUAAAGGGUGCGUAGGUGGCGGGGUAAGUUGGAUGUGAAAUCUCGGAGCUCAACUCCGAAACUGCAUUCAAUACUGCCUUGCUAGAGUACUGGAGAGGAGAUUGGAAUUUACGGUGUAGCAGUGAAAUGCGUAGAUAUCGUAAGGAAGACCAGUGGCGAAGGCGGAUCUCUGGACAGUUACUGACACUGAGGCACGAAGGCCAGGGGAGCAAACGGG
This 253-nucleotide ribosomal RNA is filed under the name uncultured bacterium. Its description in RNAcentral is "partial 16S ribosomal RNA". It matches the Rfam family "Bacterial small subunit ribosomal RNA", at positions 524 to 776 of the family's 1533-position model. The record is from RNAcentral.